RNAcentral lists this ribosomal RNA (230 nucleotides) under uncultured Eubacteriales bacterium. RNAcentral's name for it is "uncultured Clostridiales bacterium partial 16S ribosomal RNA". It matches the Rfam family "Bacterial small subunit ribosomal RNA", at positions 109 to 339 of the family's 1533-position model. Lineage: Bacteria; Bacillati; Bacillota; Clostridia; Eubacteriales. The record is from RNAcentral.
AGUAACACGUGAGCAAUCUGCCUUUCAGAGGGGGAUACCGAUUGGAAACGAUCGUUAAUACCGCAUAACAUAAUUGAACCGCAUGAUUUGAUUAUCAAAGAUUUAUCGCUGAAAGAUGAGCUCGCGUCUGAUUAGCUAGUUGGUAAGGUAACGGCUUACCAAGGCGACGAUCAGUAGCCGGACUGAGAGGUUGAUCGGCCACAUUGGGACUGAGACACGGCCCAGACUCC